RNAcentral lists this long non-coding RNA (809 nucleotides) under Pan troglodytes (chimpanzee). RNAcentral's name for it is "long non-coding RNA NONPTRT012713". Lineage: Eukaryota; Metazoa; Chordata; Mammalia; Primates; Hominidae. The record is from RNAcentral.
GUCGACAUAUCUUAUUCCUUUGUUGCAGGACAAGAACUUGGAACUUGCUGAGCUGGGGAUGGCGGGAGUAAAAGAGUUGUAACCUUCCCUUCUGCUCCCCAAACAAUGUGAGAGAAGAAACCAUUAGACGCCACUCUCUCCUGUUAGCCCAACUGCCAGAGCGGAAAAAGUUGUGACGUCACUGGCUUACUCAGCAAGCUAACUGUGGGAGGUGGGAGUAGAAGAGCUGUAACCUCUCCCACUCGAGGAACUACCCUCCUGCUUGACAAAUUACAGGAGCAAAAAAGCCACGUAUCAGAGGAGACUUCAGGGACUGGGGAGCAGGGAAGCAUUAGAAAUAAUAAAGAACAUUCUCUUUUUCCAAUCUCCAAACACAUAUUUAAUCGGCAUAAUGUAACUGAUGGAUGUCCUCCACAAAAAUAUCUAGAGGUGAUGGACCAUGCCCAAGUUGCUCACAGGGCACUUAAUAAAUGAGGACAAGAGAGAGAAAGAAACAGAGGCAGAAUAAGAAAGCAUUUCAGAUGGGGAUCCAAGUUGGUGCCUGUGUGGGUACUUGUGUGUCUACAUAGAAGUUGGCAAACUGUUUCCAAAGUAUAUACAGGAAUGUAAAGAGCCAAGAGUAACAAAGACAAUCUCAGAGGAGAAAGCUGGAGAACCUACAUUACCAGGCAAGAUCAACUAGCUACUGCAACAAAUGGACUCAAAAUAUGAAAUAGCACAUAAUGGAAAUGUAUUUCUUGUUUACAAGAGUAAACAGAUCAGAGAACAAUUCUCCUCCAAAUGGCCAACAGAUACUCUGCCAUCUUCAC